UUUUAGUUAUCUUAUAAAAAGUUUAUGACUCUUAAUCAUACGAAAGUGGAGAAUAGCCACUACUAAAAA
Molecule: transfer RNA, 69 nt
Filed under: Ophiura albida
Lineage: Eukaryota; Metazoa; Echinodermata; Ophiuroidea; Amphilepidida; Ophiuridae
Also listed under: 1 other name
Description: transfer RNA-Lys
Source: RNAcentral